RNAcentral lists this ribosomal RNA (311 nucleotides) under uncultured bacterium. RNAcentral's name for it is "bacterial SSU rRNA". It matches the Rfam family "Bacterial small subunit ribosomal RNA", at positions 28 to 334 of the family's 1533-position model. The record is from RNAcentral.
GACGAACGCUGGCGGCGCGCCUAACACAUGCAAGUCGAACGAGCGAGAGAGAGCUUGCUUUCUCGAGCGAGUGGCGAACGGGUGAGUAACGCGUGAGGAACCUGCCUCAAAGAGGGGGACAACAGUUGGAAACGACUGCUAAUACCGCAUAAGCCCACAGGUCGGCAUCGACCAGAGGGAAAAGGAUUUAUUCGCUUCAGGAUGGACUCGCGUCCAAUUAGCUAGUUGGUGAGGUAACGGCCCACCAAGGCGACGAUUGGUAGCCGGACUGAGAGGUUGAACGGCCACAUUGGGACUGAGACACGGCCCAG